UACAGAGGCCUCGAGCGUUAGGCGGAAUCACUGGGCUUAAAGGGUGCGUAGGCGGCGCAGUAAGUUGGGUGUGAAAUCCCUCGGCUUAACCGAGGAAUUGCGCCCAAAACUACUGUGCUCGAGGGAGGUAGAGGUGAGCGGAACUUAGGGUGGAGCGGUGAAAUGCGUUGAUAUCCUAAGGAACACCGGUGGCGAAAGCGGCUCACUGGACCUCUUCUGACGCUGAGGCACGAAAGCCAGGGGAGCGAACGGG
This 253-nucleotide ribosomal RNA is filed under the name uncultured bacterium. Its description in RNAcentral is "partial 16S ribosomal RNA". It matches the Rfam family "Bacterial small subunit ribosomal RNA", at positions 524 to 776 of the family's 1533-position model. The record is from RNAcentral.